CGUAGGGGGCUAGCGUUGUCCGGAUUUAUUGGGCGUAAAGAGCGUGUAGGCGGCCAAGUAAGUCCGGUGUGAAAACUCGAGGCUUAACCUCGAGAUGUCAUCGGAAACUAUUUGGCUAGAGUCCGGAAGAGGAGAGUGGAAUUCCUGGUGUAGCGGUGAAAUGCGCAGAUAUCAGGAAGAACACCUAUGGCGAAAGCAGCUCUCUGGGACGGUACUGACGCUGAGACGCGAAAGCGUGGGGAGCGAACAGGAUUAGAUACCCUGGUAGUCCACGCCGUAAACGAUGGGUGCUAGGUGUGGGCGGUGUCGACUCCGCCCGUGCCGAAGCUAACGCAUUAAGCACCCCGCCUGGGGAGUACGGCCGCAAGGCUA
This 372-nucleotide ribosomal RNA is filed under the name uncultured organism. RNAcentral's name for it is "bacterial SSU rRNA". It matches the Rfam family "Bacterial small subunit ribosomal RNA", at positions 526 to 896 of the family's 1533-position model. The record is from RNAcentral.